Molecule: ribosomal RNA, 501 nt
Filed under: uncultured bacterium
Lineage: Bacteria
Description: partial 16S ribosomal RNA
Rfam family: Bacterial small subunit ribosomal RNA
Source: RNAcentral
AUUGAACGCUGGCGGCAGGCUUAACACAUGCAAGUCGAGCGGAGAUGAGGUGCUUGCACCUUAUCUUAGCGGCGGACGGGUGAGUAAUGCUUAGGAAUCUGCCUAUUAGUGGGGGACAACAUUCCGAAAGGAAUGCUAAUACCGCAUACGUCCUACGGGAGAAAGCAGGGGAUCUGCGGACCUUGCGCUAAUAGAUGAGCCUAAGUCGGAUUAGCUAGUUGGCGGGGUAAAGGCCUACCAAGGCGACGAUCUGUAGCGGGUCUGAGAGGAUGAUCCGCCACACUGGGACUGAGACACGGCCCAGACUCCUACGGGAGGCAGCAGUGGGGAAUAUUGGACAAUGGGGGGAACCCUGAUCCAGCCAUGCCGCGUGUGUGAAGAAGGCCUUAUGGUUGUAAAGCACUUUAAGCGAGGAGGAGGCUACUGAGACUAAUACUCUUGGAUAGUGGACGUUACUCGCAGAAUAAGCACCGGCUAACUCUGUGCCAGCAGCCGCAGUAA